Molecule: ribosomal RNA, 253 nt
Filed under: uncultured bacterium
Lineage: Bacteria
Description: partial 16S ribosomal RNA
Rfam family: Bacterial small subunit ribosomal RNA
Source: RNAcentral
UACGUAGGUGGCGAGCGUUGUCCGGAAUUACUGGGCGUAAAGGGAGCGUAGGCGGUUUUUUAAGUGGGAUGUGAAAUCCCCGGGCUCAACCUGGGAAUUGCAUUCCAAACUGGGAGACUAGAGUGCAGGAGAGGAAAGUGGAAUUCCAAGUGUAGCGGUGAAAUGCGUAGAGAUUUGGAGGAACACCAGUGGCGAAGGCGACUUUCUGGACUGUAACUGACGCUGAGGCUCGAGAGCGUGGGGAGCAAACAGG